RNAcentral lists this long non-coding RNA (823 nucleotides) under Ananas comosus (pineapple). RNAcentral describes it as "long non-coding RNA (ACOM_LNC008759)". Lineage: Eukaryota; Viridiplantae; Streptophyta; Magnoliopsida; Poales; Bromeliaceae. The record is from RNAcentral.
UUUUUUUUUUUUCAACCUGGCCCACGUGACGUACAAACCCGCCACAAAUACAAAGUUCCUCUGUCCACUCGGACAGAGUCUCAUUUGUAUUUGCACGGCGAACCAACGAUACAACAGGAUCUCAACUACAAUCUACAAUUACCAAUCAACAACCAAUUUAUGAUAUGCAUUUUCCUACAGCUAACAAUCCUUAGAGACGAUGGAUACCGCAAGCACUCCUUAGGCGCUGGAUGAUGCAAUGCACAGUACAACAAUCAUCCUAUUUAAAGUGCUCUCCACACGGAAGCUUUUAUUUUUGAACUCUAAUUCAUUCAUCAUGAAAAAUCAUUCAAAAACCUUUUUAAAACUGUUUCCCACACGGAAACUCUAUUUUGAAAAUCAACUAUCUCGAGGGGUAGAAAACCACGAUAUGUAAAUACAAGAAAAUCCGAUAUCCAUAAAAUCAACAUCCAAAUCCACAAACCUCAGUUCACAUGCAUAAAUAACGAAAGCAUUCACAGAUCUACCAAAACCAGAUCACCAACAUUCAAACAAUCAUAAAGAUCAGCUAACUGAACCAUUAUUUAAAUGACUACUAUAGGUGGGAAAGAAAUACAACCAGGGUGGCGAUCGCUAUACCAGACUAGCUAGAUCGUCCUCUCGUCGAGCCCAAAAUCCAACUCCUCGUCUAUGACACCUGGGGGGAAAUGGGGGGUGAGAAACCGCAACCAUGGUUUUCUCAGUGGGUACGACAGAGCCACGAAGGCAAGCCGUAAUCACCGGAAACCAAAGGAGAUAGAUAAACAAAUAUAGAUGCUAAUAUAUGAAAACGAACUACAGUAGC